CCGAGUUCACAACUCCCAAACCCCUGUGAACAUACCUACUGUUGCCUCGGCGGAUCAGCCCGCGCCCGUAAAACGGGACGGCCCGCCAGAGGACCCCUAAACUCUGUUUCUAUAGUGGAACUUCUGAGUAAAACCAUAAAUAAAUCA
Molecule: unclassified non-coding RNA, 147 nt
Filed under: soil metagenome
Description: partial internal transcribed spacer 1
Source: RNAcentral